GACGAACGCUGGCGGCGUGCUUAACACAUGCAAGUCGAACGGAAAGGCCCUGCUUUUGUGGGGUGCUCGAGUGGCGAACGGGUGAGUAACACGUGAGUAACCUGCCCUUGACUUUGGGAUAACUUCAGGAAACUGGGGCUAAUACCGGAUAGGAGCUCCUGCUGCAUGGUGGGGGUUGGAAAGUUUCGGCGGUUGGGGAUGGACUGGCGGCUUAUCAGCUUGUUGGUGGGGUAGUGGCUUACCAAGGCUUUGACGGGUAGCCGGCCUGAGCGGGUGACCGGCCACAUUGGGACUGAGAUACGGCCCAGACUCCUACGGGAGGCAGCAGUGGGGAAUAUUGCACAAUGGGCGGAAGCCUGAUGCAGCAACGCCGCGUGCGGGAUGACGGCCUUCGGGUUGUAAACCGCUUUCGCCUGAGACGAAGCGUGAGUGACGGUAAUGGGUAAAGAAGCACCGGCUAACUACGUG
This 468-nucleotide ribosomal RNA is filed under the name uncultured bacterium. Its description in RNAcentral is "partial 16S ribosomal RNA". It matches the Rfam family "Bacterial small subunit ribosomal RNA", at positions 28 to 507 of the family's 1533-position model. The record is from RNAcentral.